GUCGAGCGGCAGCGGGUCCUUCGGGAUGCCGGCGAGCGGCGGACGGGUGAGUAAUGCAUGGGAAUCUGCCCGGUAGUGGGGGAUAACUCGGGGAAACCCGAGCUAAUACCGCAUACGUCCUACGGGAGAAAGCAGGGGAUCUUCGGACCUUGCGCUAUCGGAUGAGCCCAUGUCGGAUUAGCUUGUUGGUGAGGUAACGGCUCACCAAGGCAACGAUCCGUAGCUGGUCUGAGAGGAUGAUCAGCCACACCGGGACUGAGACACGGCCCGGACUCCUACGGGAGGCAGCAGUGGGGAAUAUUGGACAAUGGGGGAAACCCUGAUCCAGCCAUGCCGCGUGUGUGAAGAAGGCCUUAGGGUUGUAAAGCACUUUCAGUGGGGAAGAAGGCAUGACGAUUAAUACCCGUCAUGAAGGACAUCACCCACAGAAGAAGCACCGGCUAACUCCGUGCCAGCAGCCGCGGUAAUACGGAGGGUGCAAGCGUUAAUCGGAAUUACUGGGCGUAAAGGGCGCGUAGGCGGCUUGCCAAGCCGGAUGUGAAAGCCCCGGGCUCAACCCGGGAACGGCAUUCGGAACUGGCAGGCUAGAGUGCAGGAGAGGAAGGUGGAAUUCCCGGUGUAGCGGUGAAAUGCGUAGAGAUCGGGAGGAAUACCAGUGGCGAAAGCGGCCUUCUGGACUGACACUGACGCUGAGGCGCGAAAGCGUGGGUAGCAAACAGGAUUAGAUACCC
Molecule: ribosomal RNA, 731 nt
Filed under: Halomonas sp. D04
Lineage: Bacteria; Pseudomonadati; Pseudomonadota; Gammaproteobacteria; Oceanospirillales; Halomonadaceae
Description: bacterial SSU rRNA
Rfam family: Bacterial small subunit ribosomal RNA
Source: RNAcentral